GAGGUUUGAUCCUGGCUCAGAACGAACGCUGGCGGCAGGCUUAACACAUGCAAGUCGAACGGUCUCUUCGGAGGCAGUGGCAGACGGGUGAGUAACACGUGGGAAUCUACCCAAUUCUACGGAACAACAGUUGGAAACGACUGCUAAUACCGUAUACGCCCUUCCGGGGGAAAGAGUUUAUCGGAACUGGAUGAGACCCGCGUAAGAUUAGGUAGUUGGUCGGGGUAAUGGCCCACCAAGCCGACGAUCUUUAGCUGGUCUGAGAGGAUGAUCAGCCACACUGGGACUGAGACACGGCCCAGACUCCUACGGGAGGCAGCAGUGGGGAAUAUUGGACAAUGGGCGCAAGCCUGAUCCAGCCAUGCCGCGUGAGUGAUGAAGGCCUUAGGAUUGUAAAGCUCUUUCACCGGUGAAGAUAAUGACGGUAACCGGAGAAGAAGCCCCGGCUAACUUCGUG
RNAcentral lists this ribosomal RNA (457 nucleotides) under uncultured Hyphomicrobiales bacterium. RNAcentral's name for it is "bacterial SSU rRNA". It matches the Rfam family "Bacterial small subunit ribosomal RNA", at positions 9 to 507 of the family's 1533-position model. The record is from RNAcentral. Lineage: Bacteria; Pseudomonadati; Pseudomonadota; Alphaproteobacteria; Hyphomicrobiales.